CCUCCCUAAAGGGAAAUUGGUUUCCAUCUAUUUAGUUCACGAAUUAGGUUUUGAAAAAAAAAAAAAAGAAUCUAUAUUUUAUGAAUUUCUUUUGGCAAUUUCCUCUCUGUAUCCUAUGUUGAAGAAUUUGACUAUCAUUGUUUAUUAAUAUCUCCAAGUCAAUUUAGAGCAAUAGUUUUUUGUUUUGGGAGUUGAGAUAUAUAAAGUGACUUGAAUAUUUUUACAGUUCUGUAAGACGGAAUGGAGUUUAAUAAUAAAGUAGGAAGAUUAUGAAGUUUUAUAUCUAUGAGGCAACUGUUUCAAUGGAUUUUUCUUCCCAGGAAAUGCUGAAGUUAAAAGAGCAAGUACAGACCAAAACCAUCCUUAUGUCAGAGGACAGAACUCUUACUCUCGGCCCGGUGCUUUAGAGGUCCUUUCUGGCCUUCCUCCAGCCAUGCACCUCCCCUUAAGGCACGAGAUGUGCAGGACCCAGGUGGCAUGCCCAUCAGAGCCUUUGCCCCUCGUCUACACCACACUCUGGAUAAUCAGGUCCCUAGUGCCAAGGGGCAGCUUUUAGAAGGAAGUAUGGACAGAGCUUAGAUGUGGGGGCUGGAUUGUCCCAUGUGUGAGCAUGAAGACCCUCCCAGGAUGGGUUAGAGCUGGAAGUGGAGAGAGAAGAGGGGCAGGACAGAGAUGGGAGCCAGGGCCAUAUCUUCCUGCACUGCCAAGUCAUCUGGUGAGAAUUACAAGGAAUUGGAAAAUUCUGAAUACCUUCCAGGUCAUUAUGGAGAUAUAGUUGUCAAGGUAGGAGAAUAGAACAUAUUUUACUAAACAGUUUGUUUCUUUGAUUUAUAACUUUUGAAUGUUUAUGCAUAUGGUAUGUGGGCCUCCAUUCAUACACUCACAUUCCUGCCCAGGUCUCCAGGGCAGUGUACUUUGUCCAGGGAAUGGGAAAGUGUUUGAGGCCAAGAGAACAGAGUUCUACAACUUUCAUUCAUCAGUGUGACCAUGGGCAAGUCACAACCUCUCAAUGCUUCAGUUUCCUCUUAUGUCAAAUAAAAAUCUUACCUGCGUGUUUCACAAAGUGGCCACAUGAUAAAAAGAGAAAAUGAACUCGAAAUGUUUUAUAUAAAUAAUGCUGCAUGUAAUUUUUGUAGCAAUACAUACUGCUGCUUUUGGCAUGACCCAUACAUCUAACACUAGUACAUAACUCCUUUUUUCUACACUGUAUAGCAGGCAAGACACACUUACAUCUCAUGAACUAGUCUGAUAUUAUGGUACAAUCUUAACAGUCUUAUCAAACCGGAAACUAUCUUGACACCAGCUUUGAGAGUGUAAGCCAAGGGCAGUACAAUGCUUUUGAGUGCCAUUUAAUCUAGUGUUUCCCAAUCACUUUCAGUGCAAAGACUCAUAAUAUUAAAAGCAAACAAAAAAAUUUGCAGACUCAUUCAUGAGGGUAUCAAUUGAGGAAAAAAACACCAUAAUCAAAACUUAAUCAUACUUUUAAAUGAAUCGUGCUUUCUUAAUCACAACAGCAUCUGCACACAUUUGCAAAAGCAUAGGUCAUACUAUGUGUGAGAGAAUGAUUCUGUUUGGGGACAGUACCUUCUGUGUGUCUAGACUCUCAGGCUCUGUACUGAUGAGUUCAAGGCCUCCCGGCGGUGGUCAGCAGAUCAGAUGAUUAAGGUACAUGUGUUGGGCACAAACUUAUCACUGAAUAAAUGAUUAAUUGAAUUAAGGUACUCAAAUAUGUAUUAAUCACCAAUAAUAUACAAGGCUUAGGACAAAAAGCUGCCCUCAUGAGGCUUAUAAUCAAGUACAGGGAACAAGGCAAAUCCUGAACUCCAGAUCCAAACAAUGGAACGUAGGAUGAAUACAGGAAGCAGUAUGUGGGGAUUAAUGGCCACAUUCUAACAUGGCAGGAAUCAGCAGAAGUGUCAUAAAGAUCAUGACGUUUGUGUUUCAUCUCCAAGGAAGAGUGGGCCUUUGGAAGGCAGAGAUAACCAACUAACAUUUGUCCAGAGCCUUCUAUAUAGGAGCAUCCUUGUCUAUCAAGAGGGUUGGAUUCUCGAUCCCUUAGUUCCUCUGGAGAAGAAGGAGGCCUGUGCAAGGAGGACUCAAGAAUAGCAAGGACGCCUUAAGGAUCUAGUCGCCACAGGGCCUGCAGGCUGACCCUAAAGUAAAUUUCUUGAAGAAAUUGGAUCUCAGAGAUUACAGGUGGGGACUUUUUGAAAGUAUGUCUAUACUCAAGUGGAGAAAAGCCCAACUAAAAGAAUGGUGGACUGACUGACAUCACAACUGUGGAUUAAGCAAAAGUUCUUUUUAAAAGGGCCAUCUUGAAGAUUAUGACUCAGACUUCAUAGGAACUAAGGUGAUUGGCAGUGGAAGAAAUCACGUGAAAUUUCUUAAAUAAAAAUUUCAUG
Molecule: non-coding RNA, 2402 nt
Organism: Equus caballus (horse)
Lineage: Eukaryota; Metazoa; Chordata; Mammalia; Perissodactyla; Equidae
Source: RefSeq, a predicted model, not a curated record